UACGAGUGCCUCAAGUGUUAUCCGGAAUCACUGGGCGUAAAGGGUGUGUAGGCGGUCAUGUUAGUCCACUGUCAAAUUCUUCGGCUUAACCGGGGGUCCGCAGUGGAAACGGCAUGACUUUGAGGGUGCGAGAGGUGAAUGGAACUCUAAGUGUAGGGGUGAAAUCCGUUGAUAUUUAGGGGAACACCAAAAGCGAAGGCAAUAAACUGGCGCCUACCUGACACUCAAGCACGAAAGCGUGGGGAUCAAACGGGAUUAGAUACCCUUGUAGU
RNAcentral lists this ribosomal RNA (272 nucleotides) under uncultured bacterium. RNAcentral's name for it is "partial 16S ribosomal RNA". It matches the Rfam family "Bacterial small subunit ribosomal RNA", at positions 524 to 794 of the family's 1533-position model. The record is from RNAcentral.